UUACGGCCAUAUCACAUUGAAACAUUGGUUCUCAGAUGAUCGCCAAAGUUAAGGAAGGUAGAGCCUGGUCAGUACCAAGAUGGGUGACCACUUGGGGAUACAAGGUGCUA
Acanthosepion pharaonis is the source of this 110-nucleotide non-coding RNA. Lineage: Eukaryota; Metazoa; Mollusca; Cephalopoda; Sepiida; Sepiidae. The record is from the annotation of a GenBank genome assembly.